AUAAAAUCUAAACCAAUACACUUCUCAUUACUUCCUCAAAGACAAAUCUAAAACCAAGAGUUGAAUCGAUUGGUGGUAAUAGGAAUACAGAGGGAGAAGUUCUGAGCACUUUUACCCACCAACACUGAACUCGAGGGCUCCUGGCACAAGCAUUCAUACACACGUACUCGUGUGCGCAGUAUUACGCACACACAGAGUUGCUAAGAGACGAAGUUCAAUUGUGUUAGUAAAUCCUUCAGAGCUCAAAUUAAUGUCAAGUUUCAGUACGGACAAACAAGACUGGAUUGGACAGAGAGGAGGGUAGAGAAAACAGAGGGCAGUAGCAGUAGUAAAAGUAUUGAGAGAAAAGAGGGAGUAGUAGUAUUUGAGAGAACACAACAGAGAGCAAGAGGAGAACGAUGUUGAUGAAGAGGAGAAAGUGGAGGAAGAGGGAGAGCAUCCACAUGAUGACACUGAAUUAAACUGAGAUACUUUUUCCUUUAAAAAAAUGUAUGGAAAUCAUUCUGUCUUAAAGACACUGUCCGUAUUCUACUGCAGAGAGCAUCAACUAGAUUCAACCGCAGGUUCAGAUCGUGUGUUUCAUCUACAGCAGGGAGCAUCAACUAGAUUCAACCGCAGGUUCAGAUCGUGUGUUUUAUCUACAGCAGGGAGCAUCAACUAGAUUCAACCGCAGGUUCAGAUCGUGUGUUUUAUCUACAGCAGGGAGCAUCAACUAGAUUCAACCGCAGGUUCAGAUCGUGUGUUUUAUCUACAGCAGGGAGCAUCAACUAGAUUCAACCGCAGGCAGAUUAUUAUUUUUUUUAACUGACGGUCAGGGUGCCAGAACAUAAUUACAAAUUACUUGUACAGACAUAAUAAUUGACUAUAAAACAUCAUUAUUUCAAACGUUGGUUACAUUUGUAUUACGAUCACAUGUCAACCGCAAGUUGGUGGAACCCUGCUAUACCGUAACAGUAUAGCAGGGUAACGGUAACAGUCUAGGUAGGUCUAGGUGUAAUCAGUGUCAGAACCCUGCUAUACUGUAUCCAUGGUAACAGUCUAGGUAGGUCUAGGUGUAAUCAGUGUCAGAACCCUGCUAUACUGUAUCCACGGUAACAGUAUGGGUAGGUCUAGGUAUAAUCAGUGUCAGAACCCUGCUAUACUGUAUCCACGGUAACAGUAUGGGUAGGUCUAGGUAUAAUCAGUGUCAGAACCCUGCUAUACUGUAUCCACGGUAACAGUCUAGGUAGGUCUAGGUGUAAUCAGUGUCAGAACCCUGCUAUUCCGUAUCCACGGUAACAGUCUAGCUAGGUCUAGGUGUAAUCAGUGUCAGAACCCUGCUAUUCCGUAUCCACGGUAACAGUCUAGGUAGGUCUAGGUGUAAUCAGUGUCAGAACCCUGCUAUACCGUAUCCACGGUAACAGUCUAGGUAGGUCUAGGUGUAAUCAGUGUCAGAACCCUGCUAUACCGUAUCCACGGUAACAGUCUGGGUAGGUCUAGGUGUAAUCAGUGUUUACCCUUCAUUAAAACACACAUCUUUCAUAGUGUGGUCCACUGCUCCCUUUCUAUCUAGUCACAUGCUUCUCAUAUUUCACUAGUCUUAUGAAAACUACAAACAAAAAUCCUAGGAAAAACGCAACA
Oncorhynchus tshawytscha (Chinook salmon) is the source of this 1620-nucleotide long non-coding RNA. NCBI's taxonomy places the organism in Eukaryota, Metazoa, Chordata, Actinopteri, Salmoniformes, Salmonidae. The record is from Ensembl.